Molecule: long non-coding RNA, 725 nt
Filed under: Serinus canaria (Common canary)
Lineage: Eukaryota; Metazoa; Chordata; Aves; Passeriformes; Fringillidae
Description: lncRNA (ENSSCAG00000008232.1)
Source: RNAcentral
GUAAAGGAAGUGGGAAGAGAGCCUGUGUUGUAACCUUGUUUUAGUGGUGGAUUGCCCUUUUUCCCAGAUGAGUUCACAGAGAAGAUUAAGAUAAACAGUGGAGGCUAAUAAUGAGAGCCAGGAAGGAUGGUGAGGGGAAAUCACACAGAAAGAAUUGGCACCUUUUUUCCCCCCACCUUAUCUCUGUUACAUCUUGUGAUGGCACAAAGAUAUGCAAGAGACAUAGCACUAGAUUGAAGAGGUUUCUCCUCACUUGUCCCAAACUGGGUGGGCUGCAGCCCUGGAGCAUUGAAGAGUUGCCACUGUGUCAUUCUGCAAGCCCAUACUCCACCCAUGUGCAGUGCUGGCCCCUCUGCUGCAAAAGAAACAAAUCCCAAAAUUACAAAAGGCCCUGGAAAGGGCAGAAAGAAUGAGCAAAGGUCUGAGCAUGAAAUGACUGCACCUCCUGGGAUGCUUCAGUUCAGAAAAUAAGAGAGUAAGGUGGGAUCUGAGAGAAGUCUACAAACCUCUAGUGGCAUGGGUGGCUGGAUACCUGUUGCCAUCUCUUAGGGUGCAAGAAAUAAGGGCUAUCAAAUUAUCUUGGCAGAACUCAUGUUCAAAACAAGGAAGAGUAACUUCUAGAAGUAGACUUCCUGCCAACAGAUGUUUUGGAUGCAAAAUGUGCCUGCAUGGCUCUAAGGGGAGACAAGGCAAACACCUGGAAGGGACAGCUCUGUUGGGUGUUC